CAUCCAGCUCUUCAUAUCUUACUUUAUUUUGCUACUGCUAGUGGUUUGCUUAUCCACCAGUGGAAGAGACAUAUCCAAUGAAGCACUCGCUCACUUGACUGGAUGCGAAGUGGCUUUUCAGGAUUCAGGCUCAAAUUCUUACAUGGCAUAGACACCAAUGAUAUUCACUGGAUCCCCAAACUCAACAAUGGAAGGUCCUCAUAACAGAGAAAGCGGUGUGAUUGAUCGACCGAGCAGUCUGCGUCGUGUCGAGCCACCGGGGCGGGCGUUUUCCGCAUGAUCAUCAGAUGUUGUGCACAGGGAGGCCAAACCCUUUUAAAGUUUUAACAGAUAAGAUGGGGGUUAUAAACUUUUGCUCCAUAUACAUUGCAAGUGCGCAUCAUCAUCGAUCACAGUGGUCAAUUGUUUAGUUUGGAGUUUGGACUGCACCGCCAACUCUUCAUAGCUUACUUUAUUUACUACUAGUGGUUUGCUUAUCCACCAGUGGAAGAGACAUAUCCAAUGAGCACCGACUCUGAUGUGAAUUCAGUAA
Molecule: long non-coding RNA, 532 nt
Organism: Aegilops tauschii subsp. strangulata
Lineage: Eukaryota; Viridiplantae; Streptophyta; Magnoliopsida; Poales; Poaceae
Source: RefSeq, a predicted model, not a curated record